CCCCGGCGCACGGGCACACCCCGGAGGCCAUCUUCCCAGGAGAGAGGGGUUUCGUUCACAAAAGCCUUGCUCGGUUCUACUGCCUUCUGAAUUUGGUAAGAUAACUGAUUACUAGUUUGGAACCUAAAAGAAAGUUUACUUUGCACUGAAGAUUACUGAUGCAUGCAAGCUCUCUAUUCCUGUAGUAAACAUGAAAUUACUUCUCUGAUAUAAUCUGAGUUAUCAUAAAUACUCUAUUACAAAGGAAAAGGACCUCACAAAUAACUAGAUUUUUAGUUCAACUUGGAAACCAUGCAUUGGAGCAAGAAAACUGGAGAGAUGUGCCAGUGAACCACACAGUGAUGUUAAGGCAUGCCCACUUCACCUUGGAAGCACCAUCUCUGGGGUGGUUUCCAUGAACUAGAAAUACAGCCUCUGAAAAUUUUGCAGAAGGUGAGAGCACGAUCACACUUCCUUGUCUGAAUGACAGCUGCUUUUUAAAACAUAAAUCUCUGCCAUGUAAUUAUAAGGAACUUCUAGAAACAAAACCACAUAACUCUCCUUACUGUUUCAACAGCUUUGUAUUCUGUGAAUCAACAUCAACUCUAGAACUAAAUUAAAAGACAGAAAUAUGUCUUUCCCAAGAAAUAGUCUAGACUCAUUGGUAAGGAAAACACUGGGAGAGGAGUACUAGCUAAUACAGUCUGUACCUCCUCAUCUAAGCAACUCUCAAUCUAGGAAAGCAAUAUGCACUCUUAAAUGGGACUUAGUACUCAGAAACACCUAAAGUAAUAAAAAGCAGUAGUGGCAUUGAAAUCAAAAAUAAUAGAAUCAUUUUGCUCUUCUGGCCAUAUCUCAUUAGCUCAUUCGGUCAUACAUGAAAUAAACAAAUAAUUAAUCUCAGGUCCCCCAUUACUAAGAAGUAGAUAAUAAAACCUGGAAACUUAUUACCUUAUAUUUUAAAUUUAUGACCAGUAUUAAGGAGUAUGUGUCAUGUUUCUCUAAGAACAUUUGUUUAUAAAUUAGCCACAACAUUUCAGCAACUAUUUAGCAGGAAAUAACACAAGAAAUGAGCAGUGGACAAAGGGAUGCAAAAUAACUGCAUGGUAGUAAGGGAAUGUAAAGAAGUAUAUGGCUCUGAAAUUUUAAUGUCUAUGAAAAUGUAUAUGAUUAAUAAUAUUUGUGAACAAAACAAUUAAAUGUUCAGUGAAAUAGUCUGAAAUAGUCUGUGGAAAAAUUGGAGAAUUUCCAACAGCCUAUUUAACUAAAAUAAUCUGAGAAUCACAGCUUUAAGGAUUCUAUUUCCUUGUAAAAUAAUUUUGCUCAUCUGAAGUUUUAGUACAGUUCAUUAGACCAUGCAGACAAAAAAGAUUCACAGCUUUCCAUCUGGGUACCUUGAGCCAUUUGCCAUAUGGUUUUUAUUGGUUGCCCAAUAAAAUAUGAAGUAAAUUACUUGGUAUCAAGUAAUAUAAAAAUGCUAUUUUCCCCCUGUUCUUCUUAAUAAGAUGCUUCAUAAUAUUUUUCUUAAGGAAGACCCUAUAGAGACCAACACACUGUCAGUCAUAUGAUUGUACUUAACAGGGAAUUUAUCACAAACUCUUAGCAAGUAUAAAGUUAAUGUAAAAUCUAAUCUCCUUUGUGUCCUCCCAUCCCUGUCCCCAGUGUCUAUGUCUGUUCCUACCCCAGCCCCCAAUCACCCAGUCAUAUUUCAUGACAUGCUUCUCUGCUCUGCAGAAGCUGAUGAACUUGUUCUGACAGACGAUUUAGAAGCAGGAUGUGUUGGGUUGUGAACUACUUCCUGUGCACUUGCUUUAGGUUGAGGAAAUCCUCACCCUCUUAAAAAUCCUUGCCUUCCAAUAAAUCACAGUGUUCCCCUUUGCCAGUUUUAGAGAGCUUGGGCAGACAAAGGACCAUGGAAAAGACAUUUGGAUGGAGCAAGGGAGGCUUUUAGUGGGAGGAGUUAUGCCAGCUUCCCUCUAAGUAAAUAUUAUCCGUAUGUGCUUGGGCUUCUGAAAGUACAGAAUGUUAACUCUGAGUCUCACUUUGCAUGGACUCAGAGAGAUACAAAUAAUCCACAAAGCUAUAAUGCAUAACACGUCAGUUUUAAAAAUAAUGAUGAACAGUGUGACAAACAUUUGUUUCAUAGCAGUUCUUAGAAAUAACAAUGAAAAGCACUAUUUUAAUGCCAACCAUCUUCUAAACUUGGUUAAUUCUAUUCUGAAAUGUGGCCAAUAUUUUGUGCUUUUGAAUUAUCCAGGACUGUCAAAUGACUCACAUUUUUGGUUAAAUAAAGACAGAAUAGGUCUUUGGUAGAGAGUACAAAUAUUUCUUUUUAUUGGAAAAGUGCA
Non-coding RNA from Sturnus vulgaris (Common starling), 2327 nucleotides. Lineage: Eukaryota; Metazoa; Chordata; Aves; Passeriformes; Sturnidae. The record is from RefSeq and is a predicted model, not a curated record.